This 235-nucleotide unclassified non-coding RNA is filed under the name Hevea brasiliensis (rubber tree). The record is from RNAcentral. Lineage: Eukaryota; Viridiplantae; Streptophyta; Magnoliopsida; Malpighiales; Euphorbiaceae.
GACAUCUUCAACAACCUAAUUAAAGUUGAAUUAGACACAAAAUAAACUCAGUUCACCUGUACGCUCAAAAAGAUACUGUAUAUGUCAAAGGAUGCAGACAAAAGAAACUACAAACAGAAACAAAUGGAUAUGGGAGGGCCAACCACUUGUAAUUGCAGCAUACUUGCCCGAAAAUCAAGAAUUGAGAUAGCACAACAUUCGUAUAUGAAUUACCUUGUCAGGAGUAGAGGCACCA